Non-coding RNA from Gossypium hirsutum (cotton), 99 nucleotides. The record is from Rfam. NCBI's taxonomy places the organism in Eukaryota, Viridiplantae, Streptophyta, Magnoliopsida, Malvales, Malvaceae.
AUAUCAUAAUUUUCGAAUUAAGUCUUUAAAUCGAUCCCAAGCUUCGUAUAGUGUUUCAUCCUUCAAUUGUCAAAAACAUGUGAUGUCAUUUCUAAGCUU